Long non-coding RNA from Macaca fascicularis (crab-eating macaque), 1877 nucleotides. Lineage: Eukaryota; Metazoa; Chordata; Mammalia; Primates; Cercopithecidae. The record is from Ensembl.
UUUUUUAUUUUUUGUAGAGAUGGGGUCUCACCAUGUUGCUCAGGCUGGUCUCGAACUCCUGGGCUCAAGCAAUCCUCUGGCCUUGGCCUCCCAAACCACUGGGAUUACAGGUGUGAGCCACUGUGUCUGAGCUCGUGUCAUCAUUUCCGAUCUCCUGUAAUGGUUACUAUGCUGCCAACCACCAGAACUAUAAUUUCAGACAAUGACCCGAACUUGGAAUAUAAAUUCUUGUUAAUAUCUUUUGGGGGUUUUUAUCUUAUGCCCUUGUUACAAAAUGAAAUGUACAACUCCUUGGUCAAUCAUUGAAAGUUUAAAUUCUCCCCUGAUGUCUUUGUCAUUUGGUAACAUUGGUAAUCUUGCAGCAUCAGAUCACACUGUACCAUAGUUAUCAAUGCACUGUAACUUCGAAUAAUCAAGUUGUUGCAAGCAGUUACUCAUGUUAACAAUCUAGCUACCAGCUUAUUUGUUGGCACAACCUCAGCAAGCCCCAAACGAGAUUUUUGUGAUUCUUUUUUAUUUCAUCCCAACUUCAUCUUGCAGACUUAAUGUCCUACAUAUUUCUGAACUUGUCUCUUCACUAUCCUUAUAACCAAUGCCCUCAUAUAUCUUUUCUAUUUCAGGGGUCUGUUAAGUGCCUCUUGGUCUUAACUUUCUCAAAUCCAUCCUAAAAUAGAAAAUGAUUCCUUCCUGGCUUAGAAUCCUUCAACUGCUACCAAUUUCAGCUUCUGACAUCAUGAUCCCAUCCUCUCCGAAGUCACCCCAAGUAGUCACACUAAACUUCGGAUUCCUUAAACUAAAAAUUUUAUUUAUGUCUUGGCCCUCUGUUGUUUCUAUGUCUGAAAUCCCUUUACACACAUUGCAGGCCUGGAUAACCCGAACUUCCCUAACAUUUCCCCCACGCAGAGGCAAGUUGAUCCUCCUAUCUCUGCCCUAAAUCGUGUCAUUAUUUGCUUACAUCUGUUUCCCCUAAGAGACGCUGAAGUCUUUGAUGGCAAAGCUGUGGCUCAUUUCCCACUCCUUUUUUUUUUUUUUUUUAAAUCACUUGUUACUGCUUGCUGAGUUAACAGAUGUAAGGAGUUAACUUACUGAUGCACUAGCUCAAACAUGUUUAGAUUGUUACCUCACAGAUAUAUAUUUUUUUGAGACAGAGUCUCACUCUGUUGCCCGGGCUGGAGUGCAGGCAGUGAGUCCUGCCCCAGAGUCUGACCUGAACCACAUUUAACCUCUAUGUGGUGUGUGGGUUAUUGCCAUGAGUAAGAAUCAGAACGUUAACGCGCACUCCAGGAAGGCAGGGACACCAUUUAGGGUCACCGCUGUACUUUAGGGGCCAGAGCAGGGCAGGCUGGAUGCGCUGAGGAAACUCAUACAGUUAGGUCAGAAGCCUGGCAAGACAAGGGAAUUCUCUGGUCCUCGUCCACCUCUCCAACCUCACGUCUACUAGUCUUCCAAGAGGAUUCUAACUACACAUGGCUCCCGAGUUUCCGGCUUCUCUUCUCAGGGAGGGUCUGCGGCCCUUUGCACCGCCUUCUCCCCGCAAUCCCGUUUUCCUGUCCAUGCCUGGACGGAUCCGGCCCAGCCGUCAGCCGCAGCUGCGCGCUGCUCCCCCGACUCGCACCCCCUCGGCGAAGCGCUGCAUUUUAUGUAAUUUUCUACCAGGCUGCCGGCUUCUGGGGGCUGCGGCUGGGUCUCGGCGGCCUUCAGCGCCGCAGACGCUCCGGCAACGCCGGUAUCCGAGGCCCCGCCCUAGGCUCGCGGGUCCGGGCGGCGUUCCCCGUGCGGGAGGCGCGGCGAGCCAAUCCUCACUUUCAAAGCUUUCGCGUCCUGGAAGUCUAUCGUGGGGGGGCAAAACGCGCUGGCCCCAGACGACCGGUUCGUGA